This 204-nucleotide long non-coding RNA is filed under the name Panax ginseng (ginseng). RNAcentral describes it as "long non-coding RNA (PGIN_LNC008354)". Lineage: Eukaryota; Viridiplantae; Streptophyta; Magnoliopsida; Apiales; Araliaceae. The record is from RNAcentral.
GCUGAAUGAGCAGCUGAAUGAAGUAAAAAAAAAUUAAAAAUUUAAAAAAAAAUAUUAACUAUUAUAUUAACUAAUAUUAAAUAAAUUUACAAUAAUUUUGAAUUUUUUCAGAGGGAUAAAAUAAUAAAAUUUUGUCAUUUAGAUGUUUCAGAUAUGUCAAUUAUCAAACAGUUUUUUUAAUUCAGAUUCAGAGAUUCAGCUCAU